GAUGAAAGGUUUAUUGCCUCAAGAGGAGCUCGCGUCUGAUUAGCUUGUAGGUGUGAUAAAAGCGCACCUAGGCGACGAUCAGUAGCUGGUUUGAGAGGAUGAGCAGCCACACUGGGAGUGAGACACGGCCCAGACUCCUUCGGGGGGGAGCAGUGGGGGAUUUUUUUCAAUGGGCGAAAGCCUGACGGAGCAAGACCGCGUGGGGGGGGAAGGCCUCUGGGUUGUAAACCCCCCUUUUUAGGGAAGAAGACAGUGACGGUACCUAACGAAUCAGCCUCGGCUAACUCCCUCCCAGCAGCCGCGGUAAUACGGAGGAGGCGAGCGUUAUCCGGAAUUAUUGGGCGUAAAGCGUCCGUAGGUGGCCCGCCAAGUCUGCUGUCAAAGACCACAGCUCAACUGUGGAAAGGCAGUGGAAACUGCAAGGCUAGAGU
RNAcentral lists this ribosomal RNA (431 nucleotides) under Oscillatoria tenuis SAR 3. Its description in RNAcentral is "partial 16S ribosomal RNA". It matches the Rfam family "Bacterial small subunit ribosomal RNA", at positions 199 to 647 of the family's 1533-position model. The record is from RNAcentral. Lineage: Bacteria; Bacillati; Cyanobacteriota; Cyanophyceae; Oscillatoriales; Oscillatoriaceae.